Molecule: ribosomal RNA, 242 nt
Filed under: uncultured bacterium
Lineage: Bacteria
Description: partial 16S ribosomal RNA
Rfam family: Bacterial small subunit ribosomal RNA
Source: RNAcentral
GGAUGCUGACGAGCGGCGGACGGGUGAGUAAAGUCUAGGAAUCUGCCCAAUAGAGGGGGACAACGCGGGGAAACUCGCGCUAAUACCGCAUACGCCCUACGGGGGAAAGGUGCUUAACUGUACCGCUAUUGGAUGAGCCUAGAUCAGAUUAGCUAGUUGGUGGGGUAAAGGCCUACCAAGGCGACGAUCUGUAGCUGGUCUGAGAGGAUGAUCAGCCACACUGGGACUGAGACACGGCCCAG